Molecule: long non-coding RNA, 308 nt
Filed under: Linum usitatissimum (flax)
Lineage: Eukaryota; Viridiplantae; Streptophyta; Magnoliopsida; Malpighiales; Linaceae
Description: long non-coding RNA (LUSI_LNC000974)
Source: RNAcentral
CGUCACCGUCUACUCCACCGUCCACAACCUCCUCCUUCACCGCCACCCCUCCGGCCACCCUCCCAAAUCCCUCCUUUCCAAACUUCCGCCUCUCCUCCCUCGCCUCAACAACUUCAAUUCCCUCCACCACCACCACCACCACAAUUUCUCCCCCGAUGACGACGAUCUCCCGUUCCCAGUCGAAACCCUAGCCCUCGCCGCCGGAUUCGCCCUCUUCCUCUCCAUCUACACCAACCUAGCCCUCGGAUCCAUCACCUACAGCGUCCUCCACGGCUUCUACGGCCGGCCCGUCAAGCUCAUCUCCGCCG